GGUAUCAGAAGUGCGAAUGCUGACAUAAGUAACGAUAAAGCGGGUGAAAAGCCCGCUCGCCGGAAGACCAAGGGUUCCUGUCCAACGUUAAUCGGGGCAGGGUGAGUCGACCCCUAAGGCGAGGCCGAAAGGCGUAGUCGAUGGGAAACAGGUUAAUAUUCCCGUACUUGGUGUUACUGCGAAGGGGGGACGGAGAAGGCUAUGUUGGCCGGGCGACGGUUGUCCCGGUUUAAGCGUGUAGGUGUGUGUUCCAGGUAAAUCCGGUUCACUUUAACACUGAGGCGUGACGACGAGGCACUACGGUGCUGAAGCAACAAAUGCCCUGCUUCCAGGAAAAGCCUCUAAGCAUCAGGUAACAUCAAAUCGUACCCCAAACCGACACAGGUGGUCAGGUAGAGAAUACCAAGGCGCUUGAGAGAACUCGGGUGAAGGAACUAGGCAAAAUGGUGCCGUAACUUCGGGAGAAGGCACGCUGACACGUAGGUGAAGUGAUUUACUCAUGGAGCUGAAGUCAGUCGAAGAUACCAGCUGGCUGCAACUGUUUAUUAAAAACACAGCACUGUGCAAACACGAAAGUGGACGUAUACGGUGUGACGCCUGCCCGGUGCCGGAAGGUUAAUUGAUGGGGUCAGCGCAAGCGAAGCUCCUGAUCGAAGCCCCGGUAAACGGCGGCCGUAACUAUAACGGUCCUAAGGUAGCGAAAUUCCUUGUCGGGUAAGUUCCGACCUGCACGAAUGGCGUAAUGAUGGCCAGGCUGUCUCCACCCGAGACUCAGUGAAAUUGAACUCGCUGUGAAGAUGCAGUGUACCCGCGGCAAGACGGAAAGACCCCGUGAACCUUUACUAUAGCUUGACACUGAACAUUGAGCCUUGAUGUGUAGGAUAGGUGGGAGGCUUUGAAGCGUGGACGCCAGUCUGCGUGGAGCCGACCUUGAAAUACCACCCUUUAAUGUUUGAUGUUCUAACGUGGACCCGUAAUCCGGGUUGCGGACAGUGUCUGGUGGGUAGUUUGACUGGGGCGGUCUCCUCCUAAAGAGUAACGGAGGAGCACGAAGGUUGGCUAAUCCUGGUCGGACAUCAGGAGGUUAGUGCAAUGGCAUAAGCCAGCUUGACUGCGAGCGUGACGGCGCGAGCAGGUGCGAAAGCAGGUCAUAGUGAUCCGGUGGUUCUGAAUGGAAGGGCCAUCGCUCAACGGAUAAAAGGUACUCCGGGGAUAACAGGCUGAUACCGCCCAAGAGUUCAUAUCGACGGCGGUGUUUGGCACCUCGAUGUCGGCUCAUCACAUCCUGGGGCUGAAGUAGGUCCCAAGGGUAUGGCUGUUCGCCAUUUAAAGUGGUACGCGAGCUGGGUUUAGAACGUCGUGAGACAGUUCGGUCCCUAUCUGCCGUGGGCGCUGGAGAACUGAGGGGGGCUGCUCCUAGUACGAGAGGACCGGAGUGGACGCAUCACUGGUGUUCGGGUUGUCAUGCCAAUGGCACUGCCCGGUAGCUAAAUGCGGAAGAGAUAAGUGCUGAAAGCAUCUAAGCACGAAACUUGCCCCGAGAUGAGUUCU
Molecule: ribosomal RNA, 1551 nt
Filed under: Salmonella enterica subsp. enterica serovar Thompson
Lineage: Bacteria; Pseudomonadati; Pseudomonadota; Gammaproteobacteria; Enterobacterales; Enterobacteriaceae
Description: bacterial LSU rRNA
Rfam family: Bacterial large subunit ribosomal RNA
Source: RNAcentral